Molecule: ribosomal RNA, 366 nt
Filed under: Triticum aestivum (bread wheat)
Lineage: Eukaryota; Viridiplantae; Streptophyta; Magnoliopsida; Poales; Poaceae
Description: partial small subunit ribosomal RNA
Source: RNAcentral
AUGAUUCAUGCUAGUAUGAUUUCCCCAUGCGAUGAUUUACCCAUUUACGAUGAGUUUGUUGAUUGCCAUGUGGAGUCUAUUAGUUGUGACGCCAUGUUGCAUAGGAUCACUUGUGAUAAUUCUCUUGGUGACAUCAUGUUUGCCAAUCCACGUGACUUGUCAUAUGCUAUGCAUGAGAUCAAUCAUAUGUCAUAUUUGCAAUCUCUUCAUAGUGACUAUGCAUAUGCUAUUAAAAUAAACCCAAUUUGCACACAUGGCAUAGAUGACAAGCCUAUGGUUAUUGGCAUUUGUUUCUCCUGUGAUGAUAUUGACAUGCUUCCUUUGCACCAUUUAUCUCAUAUGCCAUGCCAUAGCCACCUAGCUUGA